Molecule: transfer RNA, 61 nt
Filed under: bovine gut metagenome
Rfam family: tRNA
About the family: Transfer RNA (tRNA) molecules are approximately 80 nucleotides in length. Their secondary structure includes four short double-helical elements and three loops (D, anti-codon, and T loops). Further hydrogen bonds mediate the characteristic L-shaped molecular structure. tRNAs have two regions of fundamental functional importance: the anti-codon, which is responsible for specific mRNA codon recognition, and the 3' end, to which the tRNAs corresponding amino acid is attached (by aminoacyl-tRNA synthetases). tRNAs cope with the degeneracy of the genetic code in two manners: having more than one tRNA (with a specific anti-codon) for a particular amino acid; and 'wobble' base-pairing, i.e. permitting non-standard base-pairing at the 3rd anti-codon position.
Source: RNAcentral
GUUGCGCAGUGGUAGCGCGUCUGGUUUGGGACCAGAAGGUCGGGGGUUCGAAUCCCCCCUC